UCCGUAGGUGAACCUGCGGAAGGAUCAUUACUGAGUUCAUGCCCUAACGGGUAGACCUCCACCCUUGAAUACAAACUCUUGUUGCUUUGGCGGGCCGCUUCGGCUACUGGCUUCGGCUGGUGAGUGCCCGCCAGAGAACCCUAAACUUUGAAUUACAGUGUCGUCUGAGUACUAUAUAAUAGUUAAAACUUUCAACAACGGAUCUCUUGGUUCUGGCAUCGAUGAAGAACGCAGCGAAAUGCGAUAAGUAAUGUGAAUUGCAGAAUUCAGUGAAUCAUCGAAUCUUUGAACGCACAUUGCGCCCCUUGGUAUUCCGUAGGGCAUGCCUGUCUGAGCGUCAGCUCGUCUUCUCAAGCUCUUUUGCUUGGAUAACAUUGGAAUUGCAAUACACGCCUCGAUUCGGGGUCUGUCUGCAAUCCAGAAAUAUAUAGGCGGUACGGUUCUAGCAAACCAGACGUAAUAAUAUUCUUAUCUAUCGUUAAUUUGUUCAAACUGUUGCUUGCCUUUUAAUCCACAUCUUAUCCAAGAUGACCUCAGAUCAGGUAGGGGAUACCGGCUGGAACUUAAGGCAUAUCAAUAAGGCGGGAGGGAAGUCGACUGGCCAAGGGGGCACACAGGGGGGGGAUA
Molecule: ribosomal RNA, 627 nt
Filed under: uncultured fungus
Lineage: Eukaryota; Fungi
Description: eukaryotic LSU rRNA
Rfam family: 5.8S ribosomal RNA (bases 187-340)
Source: RNAcentral